Equus caballus (horse) is the source of this 3416-nucleotide long non-coding RNA. NCBI's taxonomy places the organism in Eukaryota, Metazoa, Chordata, Mammalia, Perissodactyla, Equidae. The record is from Ensembl.
GUUAAAUGAUACCAUAACACCAUAUAGUUACAAUUCUGUUAUAAAUGUGCCGACAGUUCCCAAAAAAAUCCAUUUUCGGUGCUCCCUCCCCCACCCCAUUCCUUCCUGUGACCUACGCAGUGAUGACUGUGGAAGCUACUGGCUCAAUGGAAAGCGGGGAGAAGAUCGAAGGUUUAGUCAUAGUGUGGCCCCACCACCGCCAGCCCUGCCCUCUGGAAAAUAUUUCUGAGAAGCCUCAGUAUUGGUGUCCAGAGCAACAUGCUCAUCUGAAGAACACAUCUGAACUUUCUUUCUGCUGAAAAUCACAUUUAUUCAUACAAGCAAUGGAUUCCCUGGAGAAAUGCAAUUCAAAGAUGGCGGCCAGUGGAGUAAUUGAGGAAUGACUGGCCUCUCUUGGUCCCCUCCUGCCUUUCCUCCUCGCCCCUGCAGUAACGUGGUUUGCUUUUCCUAAGAGAUGCUGAAAGAGAGAAGCCAGCAAACCUCUCCAUCGAUGCAGCAAUGUGGAGGCUUAACAUUCAAUUAGAAAACCCACUUCAGCAUCUCCCACAGAGAAACAUCAGGAAGAGAUUCCUCAUAUAUAUUUUCACAGAAAACACUGGAAUCACCACACAGACUGCUAUAACUGCCCAUUUUCUAACUCUUUGAUGUGUACAAAUCUGACAGCUGAUAUUUGAGGGUGAGACGCUUAGAUCCUUUAAACACGAGUCGGACAGAACCGCUCUGAGAGAGUCAGUGAUGACGCCAGGGCAUUCCCCUCCCAGCCGCCCACCGGUGUCCUCCGAGCCUGCGCCCCACCGGGAGAAGGGGUCUGAUGUUUUAUUCUUCUACCUCCUUCUCAUGUGCAAGGCAACCUACAAUUUCUUGUGGACACAUCAACUUCUCAGUGUCUGUAUCAGGAAUUUCAAACUCUCAUUCAUCCUCCAUCACCUUGAUAAUCUCUACUUGGUUUGAACUGUCUAAAGAAAAAGAAAAAAUGUUUCUCUGUGCUGCGAAUCAAGUCUUUCUUUAGUCCUGUUUUUAUUAUUCUUCUAUCAAAAGAUUCAAGUUAAAGAGCGGGAUUCCUUGUUAAUCUCUUUAAUAAGCUUUGGCUGUUUGGAAUGCACAUAGUUGAGUUGGUCUCCCCAUGGGACCCUGGACCCUGGACCCUGAGGAUGGCCCUGCACGGGGGGUGCCUUAGCUUGUGUCUCUGCUCCGUCACUUGUCUGCAAGCUUGCUGAGGGCAGGGACUGUCUGCUUACCUCUGGUCCCAGCACCUGGCUUGGGGCCGGCACGGAGUAUGUGCUCAGUAAGUGCUGCGUUUGGGAACAGCACUUGGAUCCCAGAACAGUUAACACCCUCCCGCGAGGCCUCGGAGGGCGCAAGCGCCAAGCCCAAGCUUCCUUUCACAUCCUGCUCCUGCAGAAAUGGAGCAGCUGCUCCACUCGGGCUAUUUAAUGUCGAAAUCCCAUCUUCCCCCACGUGAGGCUGGCCUCUUCUCUACCGCCAUCAAUUCUCCAAGGCCGUCCAAGGUGCCUCGUGGAAGCAGACAUCUGCAGAUGGCUCGCGUGACCCGCGGAUGGGGGUUGAGCUUCACGCCUCACUGCCAUGCAGGCUGGUGUCUCCCGUCAGCAUCGGCGGGCCAGGCGGGGUGUCCAGGCAGACCCGUGACCGCCCGGAGGUCCUGCCUGGCAGUCCCUGGGCUGGCAACCUCCGAUGUCAGGGGUGUCACGGUGAACAGUGAUUGUUGAUGACGGGCUGGGGCACCCCACCCUUUAUUCUUGCCCCAGCCGGCUCUGAAAUUCCUGGAGACAGCACUGUCACCCCCUGUCAUCUCUGAGCCUCAGUUAACUCUUCUAGAAACUGGCGAUAACACAGUGCCCCAUGUAGUAGGCACUCGACCACCACAGCAGGAUUGACCCCACCAUGCACGGACUGAAGGCAAAGUGUGGGCUCCCGGAGGACCCACCGCGCUUUGGAGCAAAGCCCUCUCUGGUUGCUCAAGGCGGAUGCAGGUACAUGUGUGCUUUUCUGUUUCUGUCCACAAAGGUGCAGGAAAUUUCUCAGUAGGGCCAGAGGCCUGGGCCUCACUGCCUCUGUGACAGCUCCCACUUGUCACCCAACAAAGGCCAUGCCUUUGGCUGCACCUACCCGUGGCUUUCUGUGGCCAUAUUAAAGUACCCGAGGGCAGCUGUGACUCCCUCCCAGGGACCUGGUAAUAAGCACUGGCCCCGCACCUCAAUGCGAUUGAUUGAUUGAUUGACUGAUUGAUUGAUUUUGCUGAGGAAGAUUUGCCCUGAGCUCACAUCCAUCGCCAAACUCCCUCUUUUUUUUGCUUGAGGAAGACAAACCCUGAGCGAACACCUGUGCCAGUCUUCCCCUACUUUAUAUAUGGGUCGCGCCACAGCACGGCUGACAAGUGUUGUAGGUCCAUGCCCGGAAUCCCGACCUGUGAACCCGGCCCCCAAGGUGGAGCACAGAGCUUGAACCACCACGCCAUGGGCAGCCUCUCGAUGUGAUUUAAAACGUGCUUUGUUUACGCCCUUGUGAAGCCCAGGAGACUUGCAUCUGAAGCUGCCCAGCGAAUUCUGGGAGAAGAUGGUGGUGCAGUUUCCGGGAUGGAGACGUCCCAGGGCCCCGCCCUGAGUCUGAUAAGGAGUGUGUGAGUGGAAAUUUCAAGUAUUCCACAUUCUUCAUUUAGCUGGGUAACGUCCUGAGCUACUCCAGAAGAAAGAAAGCUUAAACAGCACAGGAGGAGCCCCAGCGGGAGGAGCGGAGGCAGCUGGUUCCCUAGGCUGUCACCACCUGCAGACGGAGGUGAAGGCAGCUGUGUCACCUGAGCCCCGUGGCGGGAAAUAACGACAUCUUCGGGGAAGGGGGCCAUCCAGUCAAGGAUGUGGGAGGUGUCACAGGACCCAGGGGCAGGAGGACCAAGGAAUGGGAACACCAGCAGGCCUCGGGGAGCCGUGGGGUCUCUCCACUCUGCUUCUCUGCGCUCGCCAGCCACUCUGGCUCUCUCCACGGAUGGCCUCCUCUGCUUUCCUACCUCUCAAGUCCACGCGUCCUCAGUUUGACAUGGACCAGAGGGGCCGUGUCUCAAUUCCAAAUGCCCCUUCAGGUUGAGCGUCCACCCCCAGUCCAAUCAACCAUGGGCAGAGGGUGGCACUGCAUGGUACAGCUGCAGCUCUGCUGGGCCCUCUCCCGUGGAUGGAGACGGAGUGGUUCUCAGAGGCUGGAGGACUGAGCCAGGCCAGCACCCCAAAGAUGGGUCUACUCCAGGCCUAGACGUUAGGUCUUCUGGCACCUUCUCCCCUGCCCGGUCUACCACAUACACCCACGUUGGCUCUACAAGAUGCUUGCAGAUCUCUGCCCAAACCAGGACGUUCUUUUUGUUUUGAAUAAGAAGUUAGCAAACUGUAGCUCACUGGCCAAAUCUGGCC